GGGUGCAAGCGUUAAUCGGAAUUACUGGGCGUAAAGCGUGCGCAGGCGGUCUUGUAAGACAGAGGUGAAAUCCCCGGGCUCAACCUGGGAACUGCCUUUGUGACUGCAAGGCUGGAGUGCGGCAGAGGGGGAUGGAAUUCCGCGUGUAGCAGUGAAAUGCGUAGAUAUGCGGAGGAACACCGAUGGCGAAGGCAAUCCCCUGGGCCUGCACUGACGCUCAUGCACGAAAGCGUGGGGAGCAAA
This 243-nucleotide ribosomal RNA is filed under the name uncultured bacterium. RNAcentral's name for it is "partial 16S ribosomal RNA". It matches the Rfam family "Bacterial small subunit ribosomal RNA", at positions 530 to 772 of the family's 1533-position model. The record is from RNAcentral.